This 253-nucleotide ribosomal RNA is filed under the name uncultured bacterium. Its description in RNAcentral is "partial 16S ribosomal RNA". It matches the Rfam family "Bacterial small subunit ribosomal RNA", at positions 524 to 776 of the family's 1533-position model. The record is from RNAcentral.
UACGUAGGGUGCGAGCGUUGUCCGGAAUUAUUGGGCGUAAAGAGCUCGUAGGUGGUUUGUCGCGUUGUUCGUGAAAACUCACAGCUCAACUGUGGGCGUGCGGGCGAGACGGGCAGACUGGAGUACUGCAGGGGAGACUGGAAUUCCUGGUGUAGCGGUGGAAUGCGCAGAUAUCAGGAGGAACACCGGUGGCGAAGGCGGGUCUCUGGGCAGUAACUGACGCUGAGGAGCGAAAGCGUGGGGAGCGAACAGG